AUUGAACGCUGGCGGCAGGCUUAACACAUGCAAGUCGAGCGGGGAAAAGUAGCUUGCUACUUUACCUAGCGGCGGACGGGUGAGUAAUGCUUAGGAAUCUGCCUAUUAGUGGGGGACAACAUCUCGAAAGGGAUGCUAAUACCGCAUACGUCCUACGGGAGAAAGCAGGGGAUCUUCGGACCUUGCGCUAAUAGAUGAGCCUAAGUCGGAUUAGCUAGUUGGUGGGGUAAAGGCCUACCAAGGCGACGAUCUGUAGCGGGUCUGAGAGGAUGAUCCGCCACACUGGGACUGAGACACGGCCCAG
Molecule: ribosomal RNA, 304 nt
Filed under: uncultured bacterium
Lineage: Bacteria
Description: bacterial SSU rRNA
Rfam family: Bacterial small subunit ribosomal RNA
Source: RNAcentral